Molecule: long non-coding RNA, 1263 nt
Filed under: Felis catus (domestic cat)
Lineage: Eukaryota; Metazoa; Chordata; Mammalia; Carnivora; Felidae
Description: lncRNA (ENSFCAG00000051000.1)
Source: RNAcentral
AUGCAUGGGCCGCACAUCGGUGUCAACCCUUCGGCUUGGCUGGGACCACCUGGGUUGGCCAGCAACUUUGACGGAUGCAAUCCAGAAGAGGAAACAAUAUCUCUGUUGAGAGCCACUGCCCUUGGCCUGAAUUCGUCAAACGGUAUUUAUUGGGAGAGCACGAGGGAAGGAAGGAAGAGAUCGGCACACACCCCUAACAGGAGAUGGGGGAUGGGACAGGAUUGGGGGCCGCCCUGGGGGAGGAGGGGACAAAGGUUUGCCGCUGGGUACAAACUCCCUAUCUCAAGCGCAGUUGCUAAGAACGGAGGUGAAACCAUCCUUGCAAUUGGGUGGGCCCUGGGCCCAGUGGGAUUCCCAGGACCAUAAUGAAGGACGGAGGGAGGCAGCAAAGGAGUCUUAUCAGCGUCAGGAUUGUUUUUCGUUUCUUUUCUUUUUAAAUUUUCUUUUUAAAGUUUGAGAGAGAGAGAACGUGAGCCGGGGAGGAGCAGAGAGAGAGAGGGAGAGAAUCAGAAGCAGGCUCCGGGCGCGGUCAGCGGGAGCCCGACGUGGGGCUCAGUCUCACGAACCCUGAGAUCACGACCUGAGCUGAAAUCAAGAGUCUGCCGCUCGACCAGCUGAGCCACCCGGGCGCCCCAGGACUGUUCCUCAAGACUGGAGAAGCAGCAGUUAUCCUAUGUCCCAUGCUUUAGGGGGCUGGGUUACUAAUCCCCUGUGCUAUAGUCUCUAACAACUUCCUGUGUGUUGGCAAAUCCGUAGGCUCCUUCAGGACAAGGACAAAGAAUAGUUUUCUUUUCUGAACUCCACGGUGCUCAGGAAAGCAUUGAACCUGUUGCAGGCCCCCAGUCAAAUAAUCAAGAAAUUGCUGGAUUGCGCCAGCUUGUAUACGAUACACGCCGGACAAUUUUUAGAGCUUUGCAGUAAAGUGUCAGGACAACGGGGGAGGGGUGGGGGGUGGAGGAGCGGCUCACAGCUGUCCCGAGCUUAUUAAGAGUGAAACAGGGGCGCCUGGGUGGCGCAGUCGGUUAAGCGUCCGACUUCAGCCAGGUCACGAUCUCGCGGUCCGUGAGUUCGAGCCCCGCGUCAGGCUCUGGGCUGAUGGCUCAGAGCCUGGAGCCUGUUUCCGAUUCUGUGUCUCCCUCUCUCUCUGCCCCUCCCCCGUUCAUGCUCUGUCUCUCUCUGUCCAAAAAAAAAAAAAAAAGAGUGAAACAAAAAGGAGAAAGACCAGAAAAUAAAAUGGUUUUGUUUGUUGUUGUUGUUUUUUCC